Molecule: long non-coding RNA, 747 nt
Organism: Vidua chalybeata
Lineage: Eukaryota; Metazoa; Chordata; Aves; Passeriformes; Viduidae
Exons: 5
Source: RefSeq, a predicted model, not a curated record
GAGGGACAGCGGAGCGACAGCUCCGAUCUCUGUGAGCAGGGACAGGACCCAGGGAAGGGCUGGAGCUGUGUGAGGGCAGGGUCAGGCUGGAGAUCAGGGAAAGGGUGCUGGGCACUGCCCAGGCUCCCCGGGGAACGGGCACGGCCCCGAGGCUGCCAGAGCUCCAGGAGAGUUCGGACAACGCUCCCAGUGAUGCACAGGAUUCCUUCUCCUCUUGGGCCUGGUUUCUCUCUACUCAGGUAGAUGUGAGCUGCACAAUCCCACUUGGAUUCAGCAACUCUUCCUGCUGAGUCCCUCUGCAAGGUGCAGGAAACCUGGCCUGGAAGAUAAUAACAUGAUCUGUCAAACUGUGAAAAACACUAAGGAAAACCAGGUUAUCAGAACUGUUGCUCAAGUUUAGCAGAAGGAAUUCUGUUACGUGUGAAAACUGAGGUCUUUUUGAGCUAAUCUGGCUGUUUGGGUCAGCAUGGAAAAUGAGGCACAACCAAACUCCAGCUCUCAGUAGCUUCACUCUGUCAUCGCUGAACAAAGCUGCAAUUAAAUUUCUGGGCAAUUUACAGACUUUCUGUUAGGAUGACUUUCUCUGAAGAGCACAAUUUUGAAGGACCUGAAACUUCCUGAUCUGAAGAUCCAACAAUUCAAGAAGGAGAAGGGAAAAUAAAUAAUUAAAUCUGUCUGACAAGCAAGAUGUGUCCUUAUUCAGAGAACAGGAAUACCAUUCUUUCCUUCUUUGGGGAAUACAUGAAC